Molecule: ribosomal RNA, 492 nt
Filed under: uncultured bacterium
Lineage: Bacteria
Description: partial 16S ribosomal RNA
Rfam family: Bacterial small subunit ribosomal RNA
Source: RNAcentral
AGUGAACGCUGGCGGUAGGCCUAACACAUGCAAGUCGAACGGCAGCACAGUAAGGGCUUGCUCUUACGGGUGGCGAGUGGCGGACGGGUGAGGAAUACAUCGGAAUCUACUUUUUCGUGGGGGAUAACGUAGGGAAACUUACGCUAAUACCGCAUACGACCUACGGGUGAAAGCAGGGGAUCUUCGGACCUUGCGCGAUUGAAUGAGCCGAUGUCGGAUUAGCUAGUUGGCGGGGUAAAGGCACACCAAGGCGACGAUCCGUAGCUGGUCUGAGAGGAUGAUCAGCCACACUGGAACUGAGACACGGUCCAGACUCCUACGGGAGGCAGCAGUGGGGAAUAUUGGACAAUGGGCGCAAGCCUGAUCCAGCCAUACCGCGUGGGUGAAGAAGGCCUUCGGGUUGUAAAGCCCUUUUGUUGGGAAAGAAAAGCAGCAGGUUAAUACCCCGCUGUUCUGACGGUACCCAAAGAAUAAGCACCGGCUAACUUCGUG